RNAcentral lists this long non-coding RNA (694 nucleotides) under Ananas comosus (pineapple). RNAcentral describes it as "long non-coding RNA (ACOM_LNC037179)". The record is from RNAcentral. Lineage: Eukaryota; Viridiplantae; Streptophyta; Magnoliopsida; Poales; Bromeliaceae.
UCCACUUCAUAGGUUCAUUUUUCAAAAGUCACUUAUAUAUUUACUUUUAUAAUCCAAACAACUGAAAUAAUCCCACUUCGUCAAAAUUCCACUUUUAUUGUUUCACUUACAGGCAACCAAACAUGCCCUAAUGACGGUCGGUAUUUGGAUAUGGAUUUUUAAAAUUGGCCGAAUUCAUAUUCGAAUUCAAGUUUUGAAUUUGGUAGUCGAGUUCGGAUUUUUAAAAACCCGCCCCAAAUCUGAGCAGUCGACAUCCCAAUGUUAAUGUUAGAAGUCAUAUAUAAAAUACUCCUAAGUGUUCAUUUUGUUUUCCAUAAUUAAAUACUCUAAAGGCUUAUUUAGUUCACCUAUUUUAGACUAUAGAAUCGAAAUGGAUUUGUCGAUUCCGAUAGUUAUUGUUUAUUUUACAGGAAUUGGAUUCCGAUUCCUAUCCCACUUUGUAAUGAAAAUGACAAAAUAUAUUUAUGACCCAAUCUGGCCAUAAAUCCCGAAUUGACCCAUUCCGAAGUAUAUUAUCCAAAAUCCUCUCAUAUAAAUACCUCCCUCCUCUUCCUUCAUUUCUCUUAAUCAAAACCUCCUCUCAAACUCAUAAGACUCGUUCCAAUUUUUAUUCUAAUAAUGAAUCAAAUAUUUUUAGAUGAUUUGCCAUUUUAUUUUUUAUUCAUGUUCCAAUCAUGGACCAAAUAUAUCCUAA